AAUAGUAUAUAUAAGGCACAUGGGCCAUCCUGAGGGCUGAGAUAAAGCUCCUAAGGAAGACCCUACCCCAAGGUGAACCUUGAUCUUGUUGGACAGGGAAAGGCUACAGCUCACCAAAUGGCAAGGAAGUACUAGCAGAAUUCGCUGCAAAUUCACCCUCUAGGAUGCUAGAAGAGACUGUUCCCUGGCAGGUGUCUCACUGAAGUACUUGGAUAUAAAACUUGCCAAGGGAAAUGCUGGAGGAAACUGCUGGCUGUUGCUGACAUCCUGGCACUGCAAAAGCCUGGCUCUGGGAAGGUGACGAGCUGCGGAGAACCUGAAACUGUAGGAAGAGGCUCUCAGUGUGGAAGCCUGGUGCUGGGGUAUUUCUCAUCCGUAGGCACUACCAAGAGCGGCUCAACUGACAACAAAGUUCCUUCUUCUGACAUUGCUUAGUCUUGCCUCCGGCAAAGGAAGAAUGCUUAAGGGCCAGCUUCACGUUCUCUGGGCAGGAAAUGAGAAGUGCAUGUGGAUCUGAGACAGAAUAUUGAUAACCGGCACAGAAUGACAUACUUUUAAAUAUUGCUUUCCUUUGGUAUCAGUUUACCUUCAGCUGUAUUGUAAGGCAUUUAGUGGAGCUUGAUUUAAUGGUAAAAGAAAGGUCUGCUGACUUUGCAGUGUGCUUUUGGGUAAAUCACCUAAUUCCCUUGAUUACUUCUGUGAAAAGUGGCAAUUAUAUUAGAUAACUGCUAAGGUUCUUCGGUUUUCUUCUUCUGUUUUGGUAGUACUGGAUAUUGAACCCAGGGGUACUUUACCACUAAGUCACAUCACCAGUCCUUUUUAUUUUUUGAGACAGGGCUUGCUAAGUUGCUGAGGGUCUCACUAAAUUGCUGAGGCUGGCCUUAACUUCUUCGGCCUUAACCUCUCAACGUCGCCCGAUUACAGGCGUGCACCACCGUACCCAGCUCUCUGUUUUUAUUCUGGUAAGCCUUAGAGUCCUUGUUGUUGUUUCCUGAUGUGUUUGUCUAACGUAGGCAUUAAAACAGAGAAAACUUCAGUAAAAGCUUUCCCCCUCGCCCAGAGAAUGAAGGCGAGACCAGGGAGAAAAAGGAAAUAACACUGCACCCGGAUUCUCCGCUGGACGCUCCGCCCUAUCCCUCCCCUCCCUUCCUGCCAGCCCCACC
This 1163-nucleotide long non-coding RNA is filed under the name Marmota monax (woodchuck). Lineage: Eukaryota; Metazoa; Chordata; Mammalia; Rodentia; Sciuridae. The record is from RNAcentral.